GCGUGUUAUGUUACUCUUUAUUGCAGCAGCAUUACGUUCAGCGGCGCACGUGUUACCUCAAUAGAAACAAGUUUAAGAAACUGAGUGCAGGCCUGAAUACGGACCAGCUCACGGGCAUCAUUUAUAAAGUGAUCAAUUGGAAUAGACGAGGAGCAGGGCAGGACUGGUAAUCUGGACUACCGGACAUUUUUCCGGCGGACCGACGCACUUUGGGGCCGAUCAGGGUGGACUGGCCAUCGGGAGAACCGAGCGGGUCGCUGUGUCGGCCGCGAUAAGCUAAACGAGCCGCCGCGUUAGCGAAUACUCUCCUCCAACAACUUUUGGGCCAGUUAUGUCAAAUCCCGGGCCGAUUUCUCUUUCCAGUCCAGCCCUGACAAGGAGCACAUGGAUAUUGUUGAAGUUAAACCAGGCUGAACGUCACUGCCUGAAAUGCCAGCAUAUCAGAAGAUGUCGCCUCCAGUGUCACUGUGCUCUCCGGUGGAGAACUGUUGCCACUAGCUCUGAUGGCAUGUUUUGCUACCAUUCUUUUGAAAGCUGAAUAAUGUGGGAUUGUGGUUAAAUCCAUUAGCAGAUUUGUUCCCACAUAUCUGCAAAUUUUUGUUGUAUUGUUCAGUUUAAGUCAAUUUUUGUAUGUACUUGGAAGCUUUUGUUAUUGAACAAAUAAAUAUGUAUGAUUUCCUUGA
Molecule: long non-coding RNA, 683 nt
Organism: Xyrauchen texanus (razorback sucker)
Lineage: Eukaryota; Metazoa; Chordata; Actinopteri; Cypriniformes; Catostomidae
Exons: 3
Source: RefSeq, a predicted model, not a curated record